UACUCGAUGCUCUUAGUUCUUA
Molecule: non-coding RNA, 22 nt
Filed under: Arabidopsis thaliana (thale cress)
Lineage: Eukaryota; Viridiplantae; Streptophyta; Magnoliopsida; Brassicales; Brassicaceae
Source: RNAcentral